AGCGAACGCUGGCGGCAGGCCUAACACAUGCAAGUCGAACGAAACCUUCGGGUCUAGUGGCGCACGGGUGCGUAACGCGUGGGAACGUGCCCUUAGGUUCGGAAUAACUCAGGGAAAUUUGUGCUAAUACCGAAUGUGCCCUUCGGGGGAAAGAUUUAUCGCCUUUAGAUCGGCCCGCGUCUGAUUAGUUAGUUGGUUGAGGUAAUGGCUCACCAAGGCGACGAUCAGUAGCUGGUCUGAGAGGAUGAUCAGCCACAUUGGGACUGAGACACGGCCCAAACUCCUACGGGAGGCAGCAGUGGGGAAUCUUGCGCAAUGGGCGAAAGCCUGACGCAGCCAUGCCGCGUGAAUGAUGAAGGUCUUAGGAUUGUAAAAUUCUUUCACCGGGGACGAUAAUGACGGUACCCGGAGAAGAAGCCCCGGCUAACUUCGUG
This 434-nucleotide ribosomal RNA is filed under the name uncultured bacterium. Its description in RNAcentral is "partial 16S ribosomal RNA". It matches the Rfam family "Bacterial small subunit ribosomal RNA", at positions 29 to 507 of the family's 1533-position model. The record is from RNAcentral.